CGUUCCCGGACCUUGUACACACCGCCCCGUCAAGCGAUGGAAGUUGGGAGGACCUGAAGGCAGUAGCUGUGAGGCGCUGUUUAGGGUUAAACCGAUAACUGGCNCU
This 106-nucleotide ribosomal RNA is filed under the name uncultured bacterium. Its description in RNAcentral is "partial 16S ribosomal RNA". The record is from RNAcentral.